RNAcentral lists this long non-coding RNA (1537 nucleotides) under Oncorhynchus kisutch (coho salmon). Its description in RNAcentral is "lncRNA (ENSOKIG00005032144.1)". Lineage: Eukaryota; Metazoa; Chordata; Actinopteri; Salmoniformes; Salmonidae. The record is from RNAcentral.
GAUCAUAUGGGUUGAAGUGUUUAUUGUGGACUAGAUCAUAAGGGUUGAAGUGUUUAUUGUGGACUAGAUCAUAUGGGUUGAAGUGUGUUUAUUGUGGACUAGAUCAUAUGGGUUGAAGUGUUUAUUGUGGACUAGAUCAUAUGGGUUGAAGUGUUUAUUGUGGACUAGAUCAUAUGGGUUGAAGUGUUUAUUGUGGACUAGAUCAUAUGGGUUGAAGUGUUUAUUGUGGACUAGAUCAUAUGGGUUGAAGUGUUUAUUGUGGACUAGAUCAUAUGGGUUGAAGUGUUUAUUGUGGACUAGAUCAUAUGGGUUGAAGUGUUUAUUGUGGACUAGAUCAUAUGGGUUGAAGUGUUUAUUGUGGACUAGAUCAUAUGGGUUGAAGUGUUUAUUGUGGACUAGAUCAUAUGGGUUGAAGUGUGUUUAUUGUGGACUAGAUCAUAAGGGUUGAAGUGUUUAUUGUGGACUAGAUCAUAUGGGUUGAAGUGUUUAUUGUGGACUAGAUCAUAAGGGUUGAAGUGUUUAUUGUGGACUAGAUCAUAAGGGUUGAAGUUUUAUUGUGGACUAGAUCAUAUGGGUUGAAGUGUUUAUUGUGGACUAGAUCAUAUGGGUUGAAGUGUUUAUUGUGGACUAGAUCAUAUGGGUUGAAGUGUUUAUUGUGGACUAGAUCAUAUGGGUUGAAGUGUUUAUUGUGGACUAGAUCAUAUGGGUUGAAGUGUUUAUUGUGGACUAGAUCAUAUGGGUUGAAGUGUUUAUUGUGGACUAGAUCAUAAGGGUUGAAGUGUUUAAUGUGGACUAGAUCAUAUGGGUUGAAGUGUUUAUUGUGGACUAGAUCGUAUGGGUUGAAGUGUUUAUUGUGGACUAGAUCAUAUGGGUUGAAGUGUUUAUUGUGGACUAGAUCAUAUGGGUUGAAGUGUUUAUUGUGGACUAGAUCAUAUGGGUUGAAGUGUUUAUUGUGGACUAGAUCAUAAGGGUUGAAGUGUUUAUUGUGGACUAGAUCAUAAGGGUUGAAGUGUUUAUUGUGGACUAGAUCAUAUGGGUUGAAGUGUUUAUUGUGGACUAGAUCAUAUGGGUUGAAGUGUUUAUUGUGGACUAGAUCAUAAGGGUUGAAGUGUUUAUUGUGGACUAGAUCAUAAAGGUUGAAGUGUUUAUUGUGGACUAGAUCAUAUGGGUUGAAGUGUUUAUUGUGGACUAGAUCAUAAAGGUUGAAGUGUUUAUUGUGGACUAGAUCAUAUGGGUUGAAGUGUUUAUUGUGGACUAGAUCAUAUGGGUUGAAGUGUUUAUUGUGGACUAGAUCAUAUGGGUUGAAGUGUUUAUUGUGGACUAAACAUUAAUUCAUGCUCAACUAACAGCCCCCCCCCCAACAGGAUUAAACAUGAAUUCAUGCUCAACUAACAGCCCCACCCCCCCAACAGGAUUAAACAUUAAUUCAUGCUCAACUAACAGCCCCCCCCCCCCACCCAACAGGAUUAAACAUUAUUUCAUGCUCAACUAACAGCCCCCCCCCACCCAACAGGAUUAAACAUUAAUUAAUGGUCAA